Osmerus eperlanus (European smelt) is the source of this 4724-nucleotide RNA transcript. It is a transcript of the gene named serine/threonine-protein kinase 38, with no coding region annotated. Lineage: Eukaryota; Metazoa; Chordata; Actinopteri; Osmeriformes; Osmeridae. The transcript is spliced from 15 exons. The record is from RefSeq and is a predicted model, not a curated record.
GUCUACCUCUUGCGGCCAGCAUACGUCAUUAACUGUCAGACAGAGAAAGGGAUACACGGUUGCAAGGGGUUGAGCUAAACGCAAGGAAGAGAGAGGUCGACUUCGGAGGUAACCAUGGCGAUGACGGGCCAGACUUCCUGCUCCUCAAUGAGUAACCACACUAAGGAGAGAGUGACCAUGGCUAAGGUGACCCUGGAGAACUUCUACAGCAAUCUCAUUGCCCAGCAUGAGGAGAGGGAGAUGAGGCAGCAAAAGUUAGAGAAAGUGAUGGAUCAGGAGGGCUUGGCUGAUGAAGAGAAACGUAUCCGGCGUUCCCAACACGCCAGGAAGGAGACAGAGUUUCUUCGCCUCAAACGCACCCGUCUGGGCCUGGAGGACUUUGAGUCCCUCAAGGUGAUUGGACGAGGGGCUUUCGGAGAGGUGCGUUUGGUGCAGAAGAAAGACACAGGCCACGUCUACGCCAUGAAAAUCCUCCGCAAGGCUGACAUGCUGGAGAAGGAACAGGUGGGCCACAUCCGUGCUGAGAGGGACAUACUGGUGGAGGCCGACAGUUUGUGGGUGGUGAAGAUGUUCUACAGCUUCCAAGACAAGAUGAACCUCUACCUCAUCAUGGAGUUCCUGCCUGGUGGUGACAUGAUGACCCUGCUGAUGAAAAAGGAUACUCUGACUGAGGAGGCCACUCAGUUCUACAUCGCAGAAACGGUGCUGGCUAUCGACUCCAUACACCAGCUGGGCUUCAUUCACAGAGACAUCAAACCAGACAACCUGCUGCUGGACUCGAGGGGCCACGUCAAGCUGUCUGACUUUGGGCUGUGUACUGGGCUGAAGAGGGCUCACCGCACUGAGUUCUACAAGAACCUCAACCACAGCCUGCCCAGUGACUUCAGUAAGCAAACAUUCCAGAACAUGAACUCUAAGAGGAAAGCAGAGACAUGGAAGAGGAACAGACGACAACUGGCCUUUUCCACAGUUGGCACACCUGACUACAUUGCCCCGGAAGUCUUCAUGCAGAACGGCUACAACAAGCUGUGUGAUUGGUGGAGCCUGGGCGUCAUCAUGUAUGAGAUGCUGAUAGGGUACCCCCCGUUCUGCUCCGAGACCCCUCAGGAGACCUACAGGAAGGUAAUGAACUGGCGGGAAACCCUGACUUUUCCUCCAGAAGUGCCUAUCUCUGAGAGGGCCAAAGACCUCAUCCUCAGGUUCUGCUGUGAGGAGGAGACCCGGAUCGGAGCCACAGGGAUGGAGGAGAUCAAGGCCAACGCCUUCUUUGAGGGAGUCGACUAUGACCACAUCAGAGAGAGACCAGCUGCCAUUCCCAUAGAGAUCAAAAGCAUCGAUGACACGUCCAACUUCGACGAGUUUCCUGAUUCAGACAUCAUCCAGCCCACAGCAGCCCCGGUGGUGUCUAACCAGACGGAAGCGGACUUGAAGAACAAGGACUGGGUUUUCAUCAACUACACCUACAAGCGUUUUGAGGGCCUCACCGCCCGCGGAGCCAUCCCCUCCUACAUGAAAUCAGGGAAGAGAUGAAGCCUGCAGCCGUCCCUUUGAAACUCCUCGCUCGCUCUCUCCAUCUGCCUCCCUCGAGCUGGCGUCAGGGGGACACCACCGUUAGAGGACAACCCUUCGUCCCCUCAGAUGCUAGGACAAACUAGACUCCAGAAUGGAGGCCCCUUUUCGGUAUGAACCCAGAGUGAUGGAGAUCUGGAUGCCCUUUUUCCCACCCCCACUCUGCCCUUUUUUUGGCAGUGGUUUGGUCCAAGGACUCUGGAUUCAAUGAGCAGAGACGAUUCCAUUCACAUUAGCGGGGAGGGUUUGAUCUGUGUCCAUGAUGCAAAUGGAUAACAGGCCUCACCUUUUUCUUUUUUUUUUUUUUUUCUUUUUUUACAUUAGUUGUCCAUGUUCCAAGACCAGAACGCAUUUAUACCACAGAAUUUUUACAUGUGUGUUCCACCAAAGAGCAGUCUUGGAGGUGUUGCUAAUACUUUAGCCUUCGUUUAUCUUUACUAUCAUCGGUUUCAACUCAUCUACGACUGAUUCUAUGCUUCAGCAUGGACUGACUCGGCCCCCUUGUCACACCAGCAGACUACUGCAGGCCUUCUCUUUGACCCCCAGUACCAGCAUCCUUCACUUCUCUCUGAUUAACCAACACAACGUCUUAUACUUGGCUGUGGCACCAGCAGUGGAUUUGCAUGUCUGUAAAGGGCUGUUAAUGUCUGUACAUUUUCAACUCUUCAAAAUGUUUUUUUAUUAUACAGAAGUGAAUUCAUGCUUUUCAGGGACUGUGUAAACAUGUUUUUAAACAGUUUUGUUUUUAGAGAGCUCUUUUCAAGUGCUUCUAUGAGUUUGGAAACAACAUUUUGACUGUUGAAAAAUGUAGCUCCUAACCAAAGACUCAGAACAGAUGUAGGCUUAAUCUUGUCAAAAUUAAGUCCUUAUUUUUGAGUCUAUGUGGGUAAGUUGUCUAAUCUUUCUACAAUUUAGAUUUCUGAGCUGUUUCUUACAUGGAAAUAUGCAAAAGUUAAUAGCAAUAUAAUCCACAUAGUUGCACACUUUGAUUCCUUAAAAAGAAAACACUUGAUUGUAAUAAUCUCAGUAACCCAGACAUUUAGAUGCACCUCUUAGUGUCUUUUAGACAAUCAUCUGCUUGGUUCAUUGUAGCGCCUUCAUUCUGUGGAAUCGGAUUUAGAAAGUUGCAUAUCAAAUUGCUUGUCUAAAUGUGGCAGUUUGUGGAGCUGCAAGUCUUUAGCUAGAAAACAUAAAGGGAUCCAGAAAGAAGCUGUAUGAUGCCUUUCAUCAAUGGUUUCAUCAACAGUUCAAUGGAGUCAACUAGAUUGAGGGUAGUCAUUAAGAUAUUACCUAUCCCCAGAUAUAAAAAAAAAAUACAUUUAAAUUCUCUGAACGGUCUAGGUAUGACACGUGCCGAAGUAGUAGUCAGGAUAGCUGAAGGACAGCAGGAAAUGACACCAUUCCUGUUUUUUCACUUCCUGCCGUUUUAAUUCUCUCUCGCCUUGGCGGGAGAAUAACCGACCUGACAUUCGUAUGAAACGUGCGUCUCAACCAAGAUGAGUGCACGUCACGUCUACUGGAUUGUGUGUGUGAGUCCCCCACCUCCGAAGAGAACACAGCUGUGAUGACAAUGACAGCAGAUCCAGGUCUGUCUAAUUGUCUGUAGAAAACAAAACAAAAAAACCCCCACAUGAUCCCAAAUGCUGUUGUUUAGAAUUGAAUGUAAUCCAUGGUUGUUGAAGAGUGACAUUGAUGCCACCCAAACUCCAGAAUGCUGUCAUAUAUGAAUGGUAUUGAGCCUGGACCACUGAAGUGGCGGUAAGGCUUCUGUCUCACAGGGUAAGAUGUCGUCCUGUCCAAGUCUUUUCUGAAUUAUAUGUCCAGUGUUUCCUGCUGGUGUGUCAGGAUUGUGUGAAUCCAGGCAUUUUAGACGAACGAGUAACGAGAAAUGUUUCUAUGCUGGUCUCACUUGUUUUUCUUUUAUCAACGCUUGAUGUUGGGAUGAUCCUUCCGCGUGCUUUUCUGAAAGCGUUUGUGAGCGAGCAAGAUGGUGAAGUGCAAAUGAUGCGGAAUAAAUCUUUUUUUUAUUUUUUUUAUUUAUGCUGCUUGUGUGCGCGUGUGAAUUUGAGGGAUAUGUGAUUGUGUUCUUGUUGUAAGAUCAUGCGUUUUAGUUUGAUAAUGUUAGAAUUUACACUGAUGGGGUGGGGGGCUGUGUUAGGCUACUUAUGUUGAAGACAUGUAACCCUGUCUGUGUGCCCCUACUGUUUGAAAAUGUGGAAACACUGUUCAAAACUCUUAGGAUCGUCAAAUUGUAAACAGAGAGGUGGGGGGGUCAUUGUAAUUAAUUCACUGUUCUUGAUGUGUGUGUGUGUGUGUGGGGGGGGGUUCUAUCGUAUAGUUUCUGCUAUUGGACAAUGAAUAACUCUGCACUUAAUCCCUGUGUUGUGUCCAGUGUAGACUGUUUGAAUGAAUGGACCCCACUGAAGCUUUCUAGUAUUCUAGAGCUAUUUUUAGGAUCCCUGUACUGAACACUGCUCAACAAGGCUGUUUGCUGAUUGUUGUUUGUUUUAGGUGGGUGGGGGGGUCACAAUCCUUUCUGUGUUUAUGUAGUGGGCUAACUUAAUGGGUACUUAAUGGGUGGUUCUUCACCCUUGGGUAAUUAUUUACCUCCACCGAAAACAUUUGUCGAAUAGGUUUCUAUUACUGCAGCCAAGUCAGUCUUAGCAAUGCUUCUCAACUGGUCCAUGGAUACUAAACAUACAGGAGUUUUAUUGUAAAGGGGUGUGGUGUCACAUGAAAAGCCAGUUUCUGAAGCAUUUAAAGGAAACUGACUAGCCACACCUACACGCCCCUCUAAUUAAACAAGGACAAGAAGUUAGCAGGACAAACCUGUUCUUCAAGACCCAUCCUGGAAGUUGUCGGUCUAGGCAACAAAAGGUCUAGACAUAAUUUGUACCAUAGACUGUAGAACUGGCAACACUGCAUGGUUGAGAUGUCACAAGUAGAAUGUUUACUUGAUUAGCACCCAUGCAAUUGGGGUAGCCUUUUUCUGCCUUAAUGUAAGUUUUCUGGAUUUGGUUUUUCUCUGGUAAAUUUAAAGAGCACAUUUGUACAGCCUGUUAAUGGCAACCGGCUUGUGUCACUGGUGGUAGCAAUAGCCUGCACUAUAAUGAAGGUAGACUAACAGCAUUAAAUAAAACACCAGUUUGUUUGAA